GAAUUUUGGACAAUGGGCGAAAGCCUGAUCCAGCAAUGCCGCGUGCAGGAUGAAGGCCUUCGGGUUGUAAACUUCUUUUGUCCGGAACGAAAAGCUUUGGGUUAAUCCCCUGGAGGCAUGACGGUAUCUUAAGAAUCAGCCCCGGCUCACUCCGUACCCGCAGCCGGGGUAAUACGUGGGGUGCAAGCGUUAAUCGGAAUUACUGGGCGUAAAGCGUGCGCAGGCGGUUUUGUAAGACAGAGGUGAAUCCCCGGGCUCAACCUGGGAACUGCCUUUGUGACUGCAAGGCUAGAGUACGGCAGAGGGGGGUGGAAUUCCGCGUGUAGCGGUGAAAUGCGUAGAUAUGCGGAGGAACACCGAUGGCGAAGGCAACCCCCUGGGCCUGUACUGACGCUCAUGCACGAAAGCGUGGGGAGCAAACA
This 422-nucleotide ribosomal RNA is filed under the name uncultured bacterium. Its description in RNAcentral is "partial 16S ribosomal RNA". It matches the Rfam family "Bacterial small subunit ribosomal RNA", at positions 359 to 774 of the family's 1533-position model. The record is from RNAcentral.